This 235-nucleotide long non-coding RNA is filed under the name Capsicum annuum. Its description in RNAcentral is "long non-coding RNA (CANN_LNC013767)". The record is from RNAcentral. Lineage: Eukaryota; Viridiplantae; Streptophyta; Magnoliopsida; Solanales; Solanaceae.
AUACCUCCAAAGAAGAACGGAAGAAGAAUAGGAAAUCAGACAACACCUCAGCCUGUCCAUCCAAAUCCUCUGGACGAGCAUGUCUCCCACACAGAAUUCAGAGCAGCUUUUACCACCCUAGCUCAUUCUGUCGUAGCCUAGAAUGAAUGACCAACUGCCAUUCUGGCCAACCCAGUGGCCAAUACUGAUGCAGCCAGGAUUUGAGACUUCACUAAAAUGAAUCCUUCCUCUUUUA